GAUGAACGCUGGCGGCGUGCCUAAUACAUGCAAGUCGAGCGAACGGACGAGAAGCUUGCUUCUCUGAUGUUAGCGGCGGACGUGUGAGUAACACGUGGAUAACCUACCUAUAAGACUGGGAUAACUUCGGGAAACCGGCGCUAAUACCGGAUAAUAUUUUGAACCGCAUGGUUCAAAAGUGAAAGACGGUCUUGCUGUCACUUAUAGAUGGAUCCGCGCUGCAUUAGCUAGUUGGUAAGGUAACGGCUUACCAAGGCAACGAUGCAUAGCCGACCUGAGAGGGUGAUCGGCCACCCUGGAACUGAGACACGGUCCAGACUCCUAAGGGAGGCAGCAGUAGGGAAUCUUCCGCAAUGGGCGAAAGCCUGACGGAGCAACGCCGCGUGAGUGAUGAAGGUCUUCGGAUCGUAAAACUCUGUUAUUAGGGAAGAACAUAUGUGUAAGUAACUGUGCACAUCUUGACGGUACCUAAUCAGAAAGCCACGGCUAACUACGUG
Molecule: ribosomal RNA, 497 nt
Filed under: uncultured bacterium
Lineage: Bacteria
Description: partial 16S ribosomal RNA
Rfam family: Bacterial small subunit ribosomal RNA
Source: RNAcentral